GAUGACAGUGAGGAUUGGGAUGAUAGAUGUUUGUCGCCUCUGCCACACGAUGUCAUAAACGUUUAACCAAUUCGAUCCCGCCGCCGCGUUAUUGAAUUUUGAGGGUUAAAAGAAAGAAGAAUAGAAGAAGAUCUCUGGAGACAUUUCUGCAAACAAUGGAAAUCAUACUAAUGGAGCGCGAUGUUCCGUUUUCUGCUAUUCCAGAAGUGGGACAUUCUAUAAGCCGUCUUGUAGUGGGACAAGGAAAAGAAGCUCUCGUGAACCUUUACAACACUCUCGUGAACAAACCAGAUUCAGAUAGAUUUAGCAUUGGAAAUAAGCAGCUUUAGAGACAGUGGUCAGAAUUGUACGUAGAGGAGCAAGAAUUUCAGCAUUGAUGAAUUAUGAAGAAAAUGGGGGUGGGGGAAAGAAAAAACUGUUGCGCUGUCGCAAUUAGCAAAGCAUCUAAAGCUGCUGCCGGCCAGCCACUACUGUCAUUUGAGGUAUAUUUUGUUUGUUUCUCCUUCAUUCAUAGUGUUAAUUACAAAUUAGGAUCUGUUUGGUUGUUUGUCAGCAUCUGCUGGCUGGCUGGCUGUUUGCUUGCAUAUUUGCUUAAAUUUCUCAAAGUCACAACAGAACAAGAAAUUGAUCAUGAACAAGGACUUCACGGACCAGAAUGGGUUCCUCCGUAUUUAUUAGCCCGGCCGGCCGGUAAAAAAAAAAGAAGAAUAGCUAGCUUUAAUUUCAUAUACCCUACCCUACACUUCACCACAUUAUUAAGAUUAUUUUGGACUAGACCAUGAUAAGGUCAGGUCCCUUUUUGUCUCUGCUGCAUGAAAACUCCUCUCUCUUGACCCACAGGGAUAUGGGUCAGUACUCCUUUAAAUUUCAAGAAUAUAUAUGAUCCCAAAUCUAGGGCUGGUGUUACAUCUUAUCAUUAAACUAAAAUAAUGACAAAAUCACAAUGACCCGUGUGUGUACUUACGUGUACCCAAAUGCAUUAUUGGUUAUAUGUAUGUGCAAUUAUUUUUUCUCAUUUAAUGUUCUUAUCAUAAAUAUUGUUAUUAAUAAGCAAACAUACUAUUAAUUGAUUUAUUCUUCUCAAAACACACACAAAAUUACAUAGUAUAAAUCUCCCAUCUUUCAUCCUAAAUUUACUUGGCUUCGAUGGGAGAUAUCUUUAAUUGUUAUAAAAUCAUAUAUAAGUAACUUUUUUUUUCUUGUCUGUAUAAUAUAUAUGGCCAACUUCUCAAUCAGCUAGCUCUAUGUAAACUGUCAUUACUAGUUACUAUAAGCAGACCGAAAGACACAUCAAAGUUCGGUAUGCAAGAAAUCCUCCCCAGCGGUUGGUUUCAGUACAAGCUCCACAUCUUCAUCUCCCACGUAAGCCUUGUCCGAAGAAGUUAUGCAUUCGGCCGAAGGCUGCACAUAUCCAUAAUUAAACCCUGUAACAGAGUUACAAUAUGUCUCCGCAACUCCAUCUUUGCUCUGCAGGUUAAUAUUAUUCAACACUAUAUGCUCGCACGGGACUGUAUCACUGCACGCAAAAUUCAUUGCUCUCUCCGUCUUCGAUGUCCCACUAAUAUUCCUAUACAGUAUUUGACUUAUCUCCACUGCAGAUGUCUGCAAAUUAACAAGUUUUCAUUUGCUUAUAUACUAUGUAAUUUUUUUGUCUUAUUAAGGUUUCUGUUUUUUUGGUA
Impatiens glandulifera is the source of this 1679-nucleotide long non-coding RNA. RefSeq lists it as uncharacterized. The record is from RefSeq and is a predicted model, not a curated record. The transcript is spliced from 3 exons. Lineage: Eukaryota; Viridiplantae; Streptophyta; Magnoliopsida; Ericales; Balsaminaceae.